RNAcentral lists this transfer RNA (83 nucleotides) under Chrysotila carterae. RNAcentral describes it as "tRNA-Leu". It matches the Rfam family "tRNA". Rfam says of the family: Transfer RNA (tRNA) molecules are approximately 80 nucleotides in length. Their secondary structure includes four short double-helical elements and three loops (D, anti-codon, and T loops). Lineage: Eukaryota; Haptophyta; Isochrysidales; Isochrysidaceae. The record is from RNAcentral.
CUUUGCUUGGCGAAACUAGGAAAACGCGGCGGAUUUAAAAUCUGUUCUAAUUUUAGAUUUUGGUUCAAUUCCAAAAGUAAAGA